Molecule: ribosomal RNA, 468 nt
Filed under: uncultured bacterium
Lineage: Bacteria
Description: partial 16S ribosomal RNA
Rfam family: Bacterial small subunit ribosomal RNA
Source: RNAcentral
GACGAACGCUGGCGGCGUGCUUAACACAUGCAAGUCGAACGGAAAGGCCCUGCUUUUGUGGGUUUCUCGAUUGGCGAACGGGUGAGUAACACGUGAGUAACCUGCCCUUGACUGUGGGAUAACUUCAGGAAACUGGGGCUAAUACCGCAUAGGAGCUCCUGCUGCAUGGUGUGGGUUGGAAAGUGUGGGCGGUUGGGGAUGGACUCGCGGCUUAUCAGCUUGUUGGUGGGGUAGUGGCUUACCAAGGCUUUGACGGGUAGCCGGCCUGAGAGGGUGACCGGCCACAUUGGGACUGAGAUACGGCCCAGACUCCUACGGGAGGCAGCAGUGGGGAAUAUUGCACAAUGGGCGGAAGCCUGAUGCAGCAACGCCGCGUGCGGGAUGACGGCCUUCGGGUUGUAAACCGCUUUCGCCUGUGACGAAGCGUGAGUGACGGUAAUGGGUAAAGAAGCACCGGCUAACUACGUG